Molecule: transfer RNA, 87 nt
Filed under: Oscillospiraceae bacterium
Lineage: Bacteria; Bacillati; Bacillota; Clostridia; Eubacteriales; Oscillospiraceae
Description: tRNA-Leu
Rfam family: tRNA
About the family: Transfer RNA (tRNA) molecules are approximately 80 nucleotides in length. Their secondary structure includes four short double-helical elements and three loops (D, anti-codon, and T loops). Further hydrogen bonds mediate the characteristic L-shaped molecular structure. tRNAs have two regions of fundamental functional importance: the anti-codon, which is responsible for specific mRNA codon recognition, and the 3' end, to which the tRNAs corresponding amino acid is attached (by aminoacyl-tRNA synthetases). tRNAs cope with the degeneracy of the genetic code in two manners: having more than one tRNA (with a specific anti-codon) for a particular amino acid; and 'wobble' base-pairing, i.e. permitting non-standard base-pairing at the 3rd anti-codon position.
Source: RNAcentral
GCGGGUAUGGUGGAAUUGGCAGACACGUAAGAUUCAGAUUCUUAUGUUCGCAAGGACAUGCAGGUUCAAGUCCUGUUACCCGCACCA